AUUUAAUAUCAUUACUAUUUGGAUAGUUGUAUUUUUUUAAAAUUAACUUUUCAAACUUUUUUAGCUAUAUAUAAAAAAUAAUUUUUAAUUUAAUAAUUACGCAUGUAUUAAGUUAGAAAGGGAAUGUCACGAUACUUAGUUUACUUGUCCAUGACCAAUUUGUUAGAAAAAAAAGAUAAUUUGAGAUAAAACUAAUAAACAUUUCCACAAAUAGAAAGACAAUGAAUUUUUGGAUCAAUUUAGAAUUUGAAGAUUCAUUUUGAAUUUGAUUGUAUAAAUAGUUUUUAAUGAUAUCACUAUCACUUUUCUAUGACUCAUCACUUUGGUAGUAUUUAAUAAACCUAUAUAAUUGUUUAAAUUUACCAAAAUGGGUAAUGGGUGAAAACUUGUAGAGUAAUUAUAACUUAAAAUAGGAUAAAAUUGACAAAAUACUUCAUAUGAGGACUACCAAAACCUCACAUUAUCUCUUAUAUAUAGUAGUAAUAUAGUAGUAAUGUAACAACCACGAGGCAAAAAUCAUUGACUGCUGGACAGAACAAGGCUGGUACCUGUCUUUCAGAAGGCCCCUAAAUGAUCGGGAAAUUGAAAGAGUUGCCAAACUGUUGGAGGAAGCGGGGAAGUUUGCAGGCACCAACACUACCCCUGAUGCAGUAAGAUGGUCUCACAGUAAGGAUGGGACAUUUUCAGUCGGCAGGGCAUAUAAAGAGGAGUGCAUCCUACAAAGCAGCAACAAUCAGAGUAAUCAAUCUCUAUGGAGAAAGAUUUGGAGGAACUCAGCACCAAUAAAAGUCAAAUGCGUCGCUUGUUUGCUAGAAAGGCUUGCUUGACACAUGAAGUAUUGAGGAAGAAGGGAAAGAUCAUACUCCCCUGGUGCUCAUUAUGUGGGAAGACACGUGAAACUUUCACGACUCAAAUUUGGUCCAUGUUCCUUAACAUAUCAGAAUUGAAGUGGAAUAUGCCAGAACAUACUGCAGAUUUAUUGAGCUGCUGAAUCAGAAGAGGAGGAAGUGAGAGACAAAAGAUUUGGUGGAAUCUAAUCCCACACUGCAUCCUGGUGGACACUGGAAGGAGAGAAAUAGUAGGAAUUUUGAAGAUAUAUCCAAUUCCUUUCAAAAGGUCCUCAGCAUAUGCUUAAAUGCUGAAGGAUAAAAUGUUACCAUUUCUCCAGAAAAAACAAAAAAGGAUAGAUGCGUGCAAGACGUGUGAAUUUAGUUCCUUCACCUCUCCCAAUUUGCUGCUCAUGAAAAGGAGAUCCUGUGUGGGCAAUUAGUUCAGAAACAGUCAAUGAUCUGGUUGGUCUGUCCCUCAAUUUUUUCUUCAUCCUGCCUCUUCUGAAUGCUGAGUAGGGGGCGUCCACUUGAUAGAGGCACCAGUGCUUCAUCCAAUGGCUGAGGGACUCUUUAAUUUUGUAAUUGGCUGGACAUUCAUGUUUGCUCCUUUACUGUUCAGUGAUCGUAAGAGAGACAGAUUCAAGGGAUCACUAGAUCUUCUAUGGGGCUUUCAGAUGUUCCUCACAAACAGUAGGCACUUUUUUCAAAUACUUACUCUUGAUUGUUGUGGAUAAACAGUGUCCUCCAACCCAAUGGAACUCUCACAUUUUUAAUUCCAUACAUGGCUAUUCGUCUAAAUAAGGUCGACUUAGAGUAUCCUCCAAGAGCAACCUCUCAAUUGGGUUCGAUCAUGACUCGUAGUGCAUCUAUUGUUGGACUGGUUGGUGGAGCUGCCUGUUUGCUAUCGACAUUUUGGGCCAUUUAUGGGAGAGGAGAUGGUGAUUUUGGGAAUAUAUCUGAUAGGUGGGAGUUCUUGCUGAGUUAUUUAUCCUCUGAAAGACUUGCUUAUGCUUUCAUCUGGGAUAUUUGUCUCUACAUUAUUUUCCAACCUUGGUUGAUAGGAGUCAACUUGCAAAACAUUCAGGAAGAUAAGGUUGGCAUAGUGAGAUAUCUCAAAUAUGUUCCAGUUGUUGGCUUAGUUGCGUACUGCCUUUGUUUGGAUCUUAAAGAUGAAUAUUAGAUAAUAUGUUUUGAUGGCUAAAACCAUGUAUUUAAUACCUAUAAUUUUCAUGUUAAGAUGAAUCCUCUCUUGUUUCUCGCA
This is an RNA transcript of Capsicum annuum, 2091 nucleotides long. RefSeq lists it as uncharacterized. The record is from RefSeq and is a predicted model, not a curated record. NCBI's taxonomy places the organism in Eukaryota, Viridiplantae, Streptophyta, Magnoliopsida, Solanales, Solanaceae. The transcript is spliced from 6 exons.